Molecule: ribosomal RNA, 447 nt
Filed under: uncultured bacterium
Lineage: Bacteria
Description: partial 16S ribosomal RNA
Rfam family: Bacterial small subunit ribosomal RNA
Source: RNAcentral
CCAGACUCCUACGGGAGGCAGCAGUGGGGAAUAUUGCACAAUGGGGGAAACCCUGAUGCAGCGACGCCGCGUGAGCGAAGAAGUAUUUCGGUAUGUAAAGCUCUAUCAGCAGGGAAGAAAUUGACGGUACCUGAGUAAGAAGCUCCGGCUAAAUACGUGCCAGCAGCCGCGGUAAUACGUAUGGAGCAAGCGUUAUCCGGAUUUACUGGGUGUAAAGGGAGCGUAGACGGCAAUGCAAGCCAGAUGUGAAAGCCCGGGGCUCAAUCCCGGGACUGCAUUUGGAACUGUGUAGCUGGAGUGUCAGAGAGGCAGGCGGAAUUCCUAGUGUAGCGGUGAAAUGCGUAGAUAUUAGGAGGAACACCAGUGGCGAAGGCGGCCUGCUGGACGAUGACUGACGUUGAGGCUCGAAAGCGUGGGGAGCAAACAGGAUUAGAUACCCUCGUAAAU